Molecule: small nuclear RNA, 292 nt
Filed under: Spermophilus dauricus (Daurian ground squirrel)
Lineage: Eukaryota; Metazoa; Chordata; Mammalia; Rodentia; Sciuridae
Description: 7SK RNA (ENSSDAG00000024676.1)
Rfam family: 7SK RNA
About the family: 7SK was discovered as an abundant small nuclear RNA in the mid-70s but a possible function has only recently been suggested. Two independent studies have found that 7SK RNA binds the CDK9/cyclin T complex (known as elongation factor P-TEFb).
Source: RNAcentral
GGAUGUGAAGGUGAUUUUGCUGUGACAUCUGUCCAUGCACUAAUUGCCAGAGUUAACUUGGCAGGUCUCCCCUUCCUCUUUCAUUGCUCCACGUGCAUCCCUCCUGAAGCUGUAUACUCAUUCAAAGAGGAAGACCUUCCCUAAUAGAGGAGGACUGUUCUUCAGUCAAGAGUUUAUGAGUAUCUGUACUCACCUGCUAGAACCUCCAAACAAGCUCUCAAGAAAGACCUGUACUCAGAUAACUUAGAUGUGAAGUAAGAAAGAGUUAGGACAAACUGAAACUUACAUCUUU